GACGAAGGGGGCUAGCGUUGUUCGGAAUUACUGGGCGUAAAGCGAGUGUAGGCGGUUUGUUAAGUCUGGCGUGAAAGCUCUCGGCUAAACCGGGAGAGGUCGUUGGAUACUGGCAAACUAGAGGACGGUAGAGGCGUGUGGAAUUCCUGGUGUAGCGGUGAAAUGCGCAGAUAUCAGGAGGAACACCGGUGGCGAAGGCGGGUCUCUGGGCCGAUACUGACGCUGAGGAGCGAAAGCGUGGGGAGCGAACAGG
Molecule: ribosomal RNA, 253 nt
Filed under: uncultured bacterium
Lineage: Bacteria
Description: partial 16S ribosomal RNA
Rfam family: Bacterial small subunit ribosomal RNA
Source: RNAcentral